Molecule: long non-coding RNA, 1170 nt
Filed under: Numida meleagris (helmeted guineafowl)
Lineage: Eukaryota; Metazoa; Chordata; Aves; Galliformes; Numididae
Description: lncRNA (ENSNMEG00000007167.1)
Source: RNAcentral
GUGAAAUAUUCUAGGGUUUUCUAUGAUUUCCUUUAAAUGUGGUUGAAACUUUCCCUGCUUCUUUUAGGCUACUAUUGCAGGGAUGAAUUUCUUGAGGUGAAGAUGGAAAAAAGAGGUAGAUGAUCUUUGGCCUUACCCUGAGCACAGGAUGGAGUGCAGUGAAUAUUUUUACAUCAUGAGAUGAAACUGGAGAUAUGCAGCCCUACUCAUGGCUCCUCUGAAUGCGAGUAUAUGCAAAGCUGGUCCUUCUGCCAACCAGUUAAACAUGUUUGUGUUAAUUUGAAGUCAAGGAGAUUCCUCAGGUUCGUUUCUGAGCCCCAUAGAGAGUGUGGCUGAUUAAGAGUGGAGAGCUGAAAGAAGGAAAAUGAUCUGAGAAUAACUUUCAUUCUUGAUACCACUCAAAUUCAUCUGUUGAAUGUAAAGUGAGGAAGAAGCCCUGGUGCAUUUGUAGAAUCAGAGACAUUCACUCAAUGCCCUGGAAAUAUCUUUGCCCACUUUCAGGCUUGCUGUUCCUGUCUUGCUUAUUCUUUCCUAUUCUCAAUUUACUUGAAAAGAAAACUGAAUUUACACACUCUCCUGAGAAAAUGGUUUAUCCUGGAAAGCAGAAGUCAGUCUGAUUAUGAAAAAAAGCUAUGACUAAAUUAAACACAUAAAUUCUGUCAUUUUUAAUUCUUCAUCCACCUUUGCAAUACCUGCCAGGGUACAAGAAGGAACUUUGUACUCAUUUUUUUUCUUGUAGAAAUUUAAAAUGGGUUGCAGGUAUUCGUCUCCUCAAUUGUUUCAAACUUUCCUGUCAUUGUAUCUCACUGAAAUGUAAAUUAUUACUGAACACUAAUCUUCACAUGAAAUGGGGUCUAUAACAGUGAUUAUGAUAGGAAGAUUCAAUGCAUAAAUGAGAUGAAAUUAAAGUUGGUUGAAAAUGUUUAAACUUUUGAAUUUAUAGUGAAAGGAAGAGUAGCUUUAGUGAAAGAUGCUUCUUUCAGCCAGCUGUGAAUAAUGUGUCUUUAUAUACAUAUACAUACACAUAUACACAUAUGUGUGCAUGUGUAUUUGUUAUGUCCCAUUGGACAGAAUACACUAAUUAAAACAAAAGCCAAUCCAACUGAUAAACAUAAUGUACAUUACAAAGACAGGCAAUAAAUGUAGUCGUGUUUGUAUAUGCUGCUAUCA